Non-coding RNA from Phrynosoma platyrhinos (Desert horned lizard), 72 nucleotides. The record is from the annotation of a GenBank genome assembly. NCBI's taxonomy places the organism in Eukaryota, Metazoa, Chordata, Lepidosauria, Squamata, Phrynosomatidae.
GGGGAUGUAGCUCAAUGGCAGAGUACAUGCUUUGCAUGCAAAAGGUCCCAGGUUCAAUUUAUGGCUUCUCCA